Molecule: ribosomal RNA, 476 nt
Filed under: uncultured bacterium
Lineage: Bacteria
Description: SSU rRNA
Rfam family: Bacterial small subunit ribosomal RNA
Source: RNAcentral
AGGACGAACGCUGGCGGCGUGCUUAACACAUGCAAGUCGAGCGGAAAGGCCCUUCGGGGUACUCGAGCGGCGAACGGGUGAGUAACACGUGAGUAAUCUGCCCCUAGCUCUGGGAUAGCUCCGGGAAACCGGGAUUAAUACCAGAUACGACCACUUUAGACAUCUGUUGUGGUGGAAAGAAUUUUGGCUAGGGAUGAGCUCGCGGCCUAUCAGCUUGUUGGUGAGGUAACGGCUCACCAAGGCGACGACGGGUAGCCGGCCUGAGAGGGCGACCGGCCACACUGGGACUGAGACACGGCCCAGACUCCUACGGGAGGCAGCAGUGGGGAAUAUUGCGCAAUGGGCGAAAGCCUGACGCAGCGACGCCGCGUGGGGGAUGAAGGCCUUCGGGUUGUAAACCCCUUUCAGCAGGGACGAAGCGAAAGUGACGGUACCUGCAGAAGAAGCGCCGGCUAACUACGUGCCAGCAGCCGCGA